UACAGAGGGGGCAAGCGUUGUUCGGAAUUACUGGGAGUAAAGGGCGCGUAGGCGGCCGCCUAAGUCAGACGUGAAAUCCCCAGGCUUAACCUGGGAACUGCAUUCGAGACUGCAUUGCUAGAGUAUGGGAGAGGGAAGUGGAAUUUCCGGUGUAGCGGUGAAAUGCGUAGAUAUCGGAAGGAACAUCAGUGGCGAAAGCGACUUCCUGGACCAAUACUGACGCUCAUGUGCGAAAGCGUGGGGAGCAAACAGG
RNAcentral lists this ribosomal RNA (253 nucleotides) under uncultured bacterium. RNAcentral's name for it is "partial 16S ribosomal RNA". It matches the Rfam family "Bacterial small subunit ribosomal RNA", at positions 524 to 776 of the family's 1533-position model. The record is from RNAcentral.